AUGGAUCCUGUCUCAAACAUCAUCCUCAACACUGUCUGGUAUGGCUCUACAUUCUCUACACACCAUGAGUUUGAGCUUAGCUUUGAGGUGGACAUGAUAUGCACCAAUGCCCUGAUGCGCAUAGAGUGCUGCUCUCUCUAUGGCCUCGUUGCCUUCAUGCGCACUCUCUUCAGCGCUCUAACAGAUCAUGAUGCCAUAUGGUACCUGCUCAUAAGCAAUGCUGACAUCCGUUCUGCCAUUAAAAUGGCAGAAGUGGAUGGCCAUUCUGUGUGCUAUGACAAUGACCCUUAUAGGGAAGCAGCGCGUGCUUCAUGGCAUCCUGACACUGAUGCUCUGGUAAAAUUCUUUUCGUCAUCCAUAAUCACAGAAUCCACUGAGUCAUGUGUGCCGACUCUUGCACUCACGGAUGGUGGAAUUGAGCGGCUCGCCAUGUUGAUUUCACCCAAUCCUUCACCUACCAAGUCAAGCUCAGAGACCUUAUCAGAAAACCAGAAAAUGUUCAUUCGGGCGGUUCAAAAGAAAUUUAAGGCUGACCAUUCUUUGUCAGGAAAGUCACUGCUGCAUUGUUCAACUAUAGUCAGCAAACAGGGGUGCAAUAUGAACUUCAGGUGA
Molecule: ribosomal RNA, 612 nt
Filed under: Triticum aestivum (bread wheat)
Lineage: Eukaryota; Viridiplantae; Streptophyta; Magnoliopsida; Poales; Poaceae
Description: partial small subunit ribosomal RNA
Source: RNAcentral